AUGCAGUUUCUAGAACAUUCUUGUACUUUCCAACCCCUGCCCUUUGUCUUUUCUAUUGGUUUUUCCCAUGAAUCCUCCCCUUUUUUUCCAGGUGACCCUUGGGGCACCAAGGCCUCUCAAGACAUGAGUCCCGUGUCGCCCCAGUGGUGGUGUUUCCUCACCCUCUCUGCAGCCCUCCGUCUGCACCCUGAGAGCAGGUCCACACGUCCCACUGCACAGAGGAGGCUGCUGUCGCCGUCACAGAUGAGGCUCAGAGAGGGUGUCUCAUGUCCACGGUGGCUCAGUGUGGAGCAGGAACCCCUGCAGGGCCAUCUCUCUGUCACCUUGAGAAAGGAUGCCUGCCUCAGGGCACAGGGGAUAUUAUGUCACCUGGGCCCGUUUCAGUUCUUACUGAGGGUCUCAGAAAGAAUCCAGCCAUCAAGAGGUGACUGGGGCAGGCCUUUUGGAUGGGGCGUCCUGGCAUGUGCGUGUUUUGGAGCAAGUCCUCGGGCUCAUUCAUUCAAUCGUUCUGUGCAUCAGGACAAAAGGGCUUUGACCAUUGCGAUCACAUCCCCAUUGUGCCCCAGAGAGGCAGGUCCGAGGACCCGGAGCACCGCGGAGGUGACAGGGAAGGCAGAGCUGACGCGUGCGCGUGCGGGGAAUGAUUGUGGCAGCGCUGUGCCAAGCCAAGGCGUGUUCCCUGUGUCGUGCCCACGGCAGGCUGACGGAAAGAACGCGGACCGCACUCCUCGGCAGAGAGAACAGAGGCAGGGAAAAGAAAAGGAAAAGGUGAGGGGACUUGCCAGCCUUCCCUGGGGUAGGAAGCGGUGGCGCCGGGACCCCAGCCAGGUGGUCUUCCAGUCUUCCCAAAUCCUGACGUCAUAG
RNAcentral lists this long non-coding RNA (864 nucleotides) under Canis lupus familiaris (dog). Its description in RNAcentral is "lncRNA (ENSCAFG00040002001.1)". The record is from RNAcentral. Lineage: Eukaryota; Metazoa; Chordata; Mammalia; Carnivora; Canidae.